This 1289-nucleotide long non-coding RNA is filed under the name Ananas comosus (pineapple). Its description in RNAcentral is "long non-coding RNA (ACOM_LNC011830)". The record is from RNAcentral. Lineage: Eukaryota; Viridiplantae; Streptophyta; Magnoliopsida; Poales; Bromeliaceae.
UACAUAGUUAUUUUACAUGGUACAGGACAAGAGGUGGAUAUAUACUGAAGGGCAGUACUAGCUAGGGGUGGAAACGAGCCGAGCUCGAGCGAGCUUAUCUCAGCUCAAGCUUGGCUUGAAAUUAAUUUCGAGCCUAAAUUUAGGCUCAAGCUUGGCUUGAAAUUAAUUCGAGCCGAGCUCGAGCGAGCUUAACUUCGAGUCGAGCGAGCUCGAGCCCUAAACGAGCUGCUUGAAAUUCUUAACAUCAUUCAAUCUAUACUUUAAUUUUUAUAAAAUAUUAUCUAAAAUUUGAUAUAAAAAAUAUCUAAUAGUUUAACAUAUAAAAUAAAUGCAUGAAAUACGAUAUUAUAAUACUAAAAAAAUUAGGAAAAGCGACUCUACGAGGAAGUGAAAAGGAGAGAAAGAGAGCAAUUAGAGUAGGAUUUUGCUGGUUUGGUUUUGUGGGCCCAAUAAUCUAAAUUCUAUAUACAUAUAAUUAAAAUACAUAAUAUAUAUUAUUUUAUAUAAUUAAAAUAUAUAUUAUAUAUAAUUAUAUAUAGAGAGAGAGUUUGGCUACUAUAUAUACUUUUAUGAGUACAAACCCCUUUAUAUUCAUAAGUUUUCGACCGUUAGAUCUAUUCUUUUGACCAUUUUCAUCCGUUAAAUCAUACUAUUCAACGAACCACCCACUCAAUCUUAGGGGACCACUAUCAUUCUAAUCGCACAUCCAAUGGCUGAAAAUUUAUAAGUAUAAAGGGGUUUAUACUUAUAAGAGUAUUAGUAGCCUGAGCAUAUAUAUAUAUAUAUAGAAUUAGGCUACUAUACUAUUAAUAGCACAAACCGUUUGCUAUUAGGUUUUCUGCCCUUAAAUGAAAGGAUGUGCGGUUAGGAUGAUAGUAGCCCCCUAGGGUUGAGUGGGUGGCUAGUUAAAUAUUAUGAUCUAAUGGAUGAAAAUGGCUAAAGGAUAGAUCUAACAGCAGAAAACUCGAUAGCACCAAAUAUUUGGUACUAUCGAUAGUAUAAUCUCUCUCUCUCUCUCUCUCUCUCUCUCUCUCUCUCUCUCUCUCUCUAUAUAUAUAUAUAUAUAUAUAGACAGAUCUAACGGCAAAAAACUCAAUAGUACAAAGCGCUUAGUACUAUAGAUAGUAUAGAUAGUAUAGUAGCCGAACUAUAUAUAUAUAUAUAGAGAGAGGGAGUCCGACUACUAUAUUAUCGAUAGUACUAAAUACUUGGUACUAUCAAAUUUUGUGCCGUUAGAUCAUAUCAUUCAACUAACCACCCACUUAACCUAGAGGAUUACUGUCAUUCCA